UCCGUAGGUGAACCUGCGGAAGGAUCAUUAACAAAUGCGAAACGGGGGAGCUGUCGCUGGCCUUUCGGGGCAUGUGCACGCUCCUUCGAAUCCAAAUUUAAACCUGUGAACCAACGGCGGAGGGGUCUUCGAGGUUGCUUCGGCGCCGAGGGGGCCUUUCCUGCUCAUUAUACACCCUUUGUAUGUUCAGAAUGUCUUUUGCGUAUUUUCGCAACAUAUACAACUUUCAGCAACGGAUCUCUUGGCUCUCGCAUCGAUGAAGAACGCAGCGAAAUGCGAUAAGUAAUGUGAAUUGCAGAAUUCAGUGAAUCAUCGAAUCUUUGAACGCACCUUGCGCGCUCCGGUAUUCCGGAGCGCAUGCCCGUUUGAGUGUCGUGGUAUCAUCAAACCUCCAUCGUUUCGGCGGUGGUCGGCUUGGAUAUGGAGGUGUUGCUGGGCCCUUUUGGGUUCGGCUCCUCUCAAAUGCAUUAGCUGGGACGUUCGGUCUAAAGGCUCUGGCGUGAUAGUGAUGUUGCGUCGUGGUCUAAGGCCUCUUGUGUCACCGCUUCCAAUCGUCCGCGAGGACAGCAUUGUUUUUUGACCUUUGACCUCAAAUCGGGUAGGACUACCCGCUGAACUUAAGCAUAUCA
This 629-nucleotide ribosomal RNA is filed under the name Crustoderma dryinum. Its description in RNAcentral is "eukaryotic LSU rRNA". The stretch from base 222 to 375 matches the Rfam family "5.8S ribosomal RNA". The record is from RNAcentral. Lineage: Eukaryota; Fungi; Basidiomycota; Agaricomycetes; Polyporales.